Molecule: ribosomal RNA, 301 nt
Filed under: uncultured bacterium
Lineage: Bacteria
Description: partial 16S ribosomal RNA
Rfam family: Bacterial small subunit ribosomal RNA
Source: RNAcentral
CAGUAGCCACGGUAAUGCGUAGGUGGCAAGCGUUGUCCGGAAUUAUUGGGCGUAAAGCGAGCGCAGGCGGUUAGAUAAGUCUGAAGUUAAAGGCUGUGGCUUAACCAUAGUACGCUUUGGAAACUGUUUAACUUGAGUGCAGAAGAGGAGAGUGGAAUUCCACGUGUAGCGGUGAAAUGCGUAGAGAUGUGGAGGAACACCAGUGGCGAAGGCGACUCUCUGGUCUGUAACUGACGCUGAGGAGCGAAAGCGUGGGGAGCGAACAGGAUUAGAUACCCGUGUAGUCCCUGUCUCUUAUACA